This 90-nucleotide non-coding RNA is filed under the name human gut metagenome. Its description in RNAcentral is "ZMP/ZTP riboswitch". It matches the Rfam family "ZMP/ZTP riboswitch aptamer (pfl RNA motif)", at positions 5 to 81 of the family's 86-position model. Rfam says of the family: Previously known as pfl RNA. The record is from RNAcentral.
GGCUGCACAACUGGCGGAAGACGGCGUAAGCUGUUGUGGGAAUACCCACAGGGAGUGUAGUAAUAAAAGAGUGCCGACCGCCUGGGCGAA